GUCGAACGGUAACGCGGGCUUCGGCCUGGCGACGAGUGGCGGACGGGUGAGUAAUGCAUCGGAACGUAUCCUUUUGUGGGGGAUAGCCCGGCGAAAGCCGGAUUAAUACCGCAUAAGCUCUGAGGAGGAAAGUGGGGGACCUUCGGGCCUCACGCUGAAGGAGCGGCCGAUGUCAGAUUAGCUAGUUGGUGGGGUAAAGGCCUACCAAGGCGACGAUCUGUAGCUGGUCUGAGAGGACGAACAGCCACACUGGGACUGAGACACGGCCCAGACUCCUACGGGAGGCAGCAGUGGGGAAUAUUGGACAAUGGGCGAAAGCCUGAUCCAGCAAUGCCGCGUGUGUGAAGAAGGCCUGCGGGUUGUAAGGCACUUUCAGUUGGGAAGAUGAUGACGUUACCAACAGAAGAAGCACCGGCUAAAUCCGUGCCAGCAGCCGCGGUAAUACGGAUGGUGCGAGCGUUAAUCGGAAUUACUGGGCGUAAAGCGCGCGUAGGCGGCUAAGUCAGUCAGAAGUGAAAGCCCCGGGCUCAACCUGGGAAUUGCUUUUGAUACUGCUUAGCUAGAGUUUGGUAGAGGAUAGUGGAAUUUCAGGUGUAGCGGUGAAAUGCGUAGAUAUCUGAAGGAACAUCAGUGGCGAAGGCGACUGUCUGGACCAAAACUGACGCUGAGGUGCGAAAGCGUGGGUAGCAAACAGGAUUAGAUACCCUGGUAGAAGGGC
Molecule: ribosomal RNA, 718 nt
Filed under: uncultured Gammaproteobacteria bacterium
Lineage: Bacteria; Pseudomonadati; Pseudomonadota; Gammaproteobacteria
Description: bacterial SSU rRNA
Rfam family: Bacterial small subunit ribosomal RNA
Source: RNAcentral